Molecule: ribosomal RNA, 253 nt
Filed under: uncultured bacterium
Lineage: Bacteria
Description: partial 16S ribosomal RNA
Rfam family: Bacterial small subunit ribosomal RNA
Source: RNAcentral
UACAGAGGGUGCGAGCGUUAAUCGGAAUUACUGGGCGUAAAGCGUGCGUAGACGGCUAUCUAAGUCGGGUGUGAAAGCCCCGGGCUCAACCUGGGAAUUGCAUUCGAGACUGAAUAGCUAGGGUGCGGUAGAGGGAAGCGGAAUUUCCGGUGUAGCGGUGAAAUGCGUAGAUAUCUGAAGGAACAUCAGUGGCGAAAGCGACUUCCUGGACCAAUACUGACGCUCAUGUGCGAAAGCGUGGGGAGCAAACAGG